RNAcentral lists this long non-coding RNA (1619 nucleotides) under Schizosaccharomyces pombe (fission yeast). Lineage: Eukaryota; Fungi; Ascomycota; Schizosaccharomycetes; Schizosaccharomycetales; Schizosaccharomycetaceae. The record is from RNAcentral.
AAAAGACCGCUACAAAAAAUGUAACUUGCUCUUCAAAAACAAGAAAAAAAAAACAUUACGACCAUUAAACAUAAGCUCAUUAAAAAGAGAAUAAACGAUAUCUCGAAGAUUCCCUUGAAAUAAGGACUCCGUAAUCGCUAUUCUCAGAAAGGGCAUAUUCGAGUGUUGAAGGAAGGAAAUCCUUCUCAAAUUCAUGCAGCCAUAGGCAACUGUUUAGUGGAAUGAAAGGAAGAUGACUGAUAGCAUCAAGGUAACUGUUUUUUUGCUGGUGCUCAAAAAAGGUUAAGGGAACGUCUGCUAAGCAAAUUUCACAUAAGAAGCACUUCUCCUUUAGUUUUCCAAGUAUUAAAAUACUACUUCCGUUUAAAAGCUUCAUGUCUAAAACAGUUGCGGGCUGGAAAUCCAACAGACUGCUUCCUAGUAAUUCUGCAUAAUCCAAGCCAAAGUGGCAUCCAGAUACAGGCAACAUAGUAUUUUCCAUAAGUUGGGAAAUUAUUAAGAAUAUAUUCGGAGUAUCCUUUCGAAAGAAUAAUGAAAAUAAUUGGUUUUUUUCAUUACAGGAUUUUGGUAUAAGAGAUGAUACAUUCCAAUCAGUCCCUUCAAACAAAACAAGGUCUCCGGUUUUUAACCAUUGCUUUUGACAAGUUAAAGAAGGGUAGCUAAAAAUGACGUUGAAUGAGUCUCUUAAAGAUUCUUUCAAGGUUUUGAAUGAUACGAAAUCAUCAACAGAAUUACUGUCGUCUUGAUUUGCAAAAUCCUUGAGAGAAUAAUAAUCAGGAUCUCUUAGCUGAAGGGGUUUUGUGCCCAUAAAGUAACUUGUUAGUUUCGAGCGGAAUAAAGAAUGACGAAUAUAAAUUACGGUUUCAUUAAUAUGUUCAAUAAUCUCUUGCGGUGGAAUAGAAGAUGGUUCAGAAGUAUUAAACUCGACGAUAGCGUAAUUCAACCAUGAAAUAAAGUGCUUCAUAUACUUUUUUUCCUCAAAAAGGCAAUUGAGAAACGAAAAAACAUUAUUCUGUAAAUAACCCAAAGUUGCUAGACAAUCUUCCACCAAUUUAGCAUCUAGUAAUGUGUUUCCCUUCAUAUGGCCCCAUAUUGACUUUCCUCUGGCAGAAGAUAAUAAUACAGUUAACCUUUCACAAGCAGGUAUUACGAAUUCCUGACAGAAAAUGAUUAAGGACGUGUACGAAUUCACCAUCGCCCGUUCCCAAUUUUUUAGUACUCGAUCACCGACUCUUUCGUUGAUCCAUUCUUUGAGUAAGUCGCUGGGUAUACCGUUCAUUAUAAAUUGAUAUAACUCUAGUUGUAAAGAAAAGAAAGUUGUGUCACUGUACUUGGACACUAAAGCAUCAAAGGUUUUAAUAAAGCUAGCUUCUGAUUUGAAGACAUUGUCAAAUUCUUCAUACAUAGCAUUCAAUACCUCCUCAAGAUAUCUUACCAAAUGUUGCAUACGUGUAGACAUUGUUGCAAUAUCCACAAUACUUCCCAAAUCAUUUUUAAGUAAUGGCAUAUAAAGUGUUUUCAAAGAAAUAUUCGUUCCUCCUUUACAAAUAAGAACAUGAUAUGCUAAGUCGUUGGUUAUGCUGUGUGAAAUGGGAACCCCCUAUAAUUUGUGUGAGCAA